CCUACGGGUGGCAGCAGUGAGGAAUAUUGGUCAAUGGGCUUACGCCUGAACCAGCCAAGUCGCGUGAGGGAAGACUGCCCUAUGGGUUGUAAACCUCUUUUGUCAGGGAGCAACGCCGGCUACGUGUAGCCGGACUGGUAGUACCUGUAGGAAAAGCAUCGGCUAACUCCGUGCCAGCAGGCGCGGUAAUAGGGAGGAUGCGAGCUUUAUCCGGAUUUAUUGGGUUUAAAGGGUGCGUAGGCGGAAUGCCAAGUCAGCGGUAAAAUCGCGGGGCUAAACCUCGCACUGCAGUUGAAACUGGCGGUCUUGAGUGGACGAGAGGAAGGCGGAAUGCGUGGUGUAGCGGUGAAAUGCAUAGAUAUCACGAAGAACUCCGAUUGCGAAGGCAGCAUACCGGCGCGCAACUGACGCUGAGGCACGAAAGCGUGGGUAUCGAACAGGAUUAGAUACCCGUGUAGUC
This 460-nucleotide ribosomal RNA is filed under the name uncultured bacterium. RNAcentral's name for it is "partial 16S ribosomal RNA". It matches the Rfam family "Bacterial small subunit ribosomal RNA", at positions 338 to 795 of the family's 1533-position model. The record is from RNAcentral.